RNAcentral lists this ribosomal RNA (455 nucleotides) under uncultured Thiotrichales bacterium. RNAcentral's name for it is "bacterial SSU rRNA". It matches the Rfam family "Bacterial small subunit ribosomal RNA", at positions 1077 to 1532 of the family's 1533-position model. The record is from RNAcentral. Lineage: Bacteria; Pseudomonadati; Pseudomonadota; Gammaproteobacteria; Thiotrichales.
UGGGUAGUCCGUACGAGCGCACCCUAUCCUUAGUUGCCAGCGAGUAUGUCGGGAACUCUAGGGAGACUGCCGGUGACAAACCGGAGGAAGGUGGGGACGACGUCAAGUCAUCAUGGCCCUUAUGGGCAGGGCUACACACGUGCUACAAUGGUCCGGCACAGAGGGCUGCGAAGUCGCAAGGCGGAGCGAAUCUCAGAAAACCGGUCGUAGUCCGAGUAUUGCAUGCUCUGCAACUCGACUGCAUGAAGUUGGAAUCGCUAUUAAUCGCGGAUCAGAAUGCCGCGGUGAAUACUUCCCCGGGCCUUGUACACACCGCCCGUCACACCAUGGGAGUGGGCUGUACCAAAAGUAGGUAGUCUAACCUUCGGGGGGACGCUUACCACGGUGUGGUUCAUGACUGGGGUGAAGUCGUAACAAGGUACCCCUAGGGGAACCUGGGGCUGGAUCACCUCCUU